Molecule: ribosomal RNA, 305 nt
Filed under: Acinetobacter baumannii OIFC083
Lineage: Bacteria; Pseudomonadati; Pseudomonadota; Gammaproteobacteria; Moraxellales; Moraxellaceae
Description: bacterial SSU rRNA
Rfam family: Bacterial small subunit ribosomal RNA
Source: RNAcentral
AACACAUGCAAGUCGAGCGGGGGAAGGUAGCUUGCUACCGGACCUAGCGGCGGACGGGUGAGUAAUGCUUAGGAAUCUGCCUAUUAGUGGGGGACAACAUCUCGAAAGGGAUGCUAAUACCGCAUACGUCCUACGGGAGAAAGCAGGGGAUCUUCGGACCUUGCGCUAAUAGAUGAGCCUAAGUCGGAUUAGCUAGUUGGUGGGGUAAAGGCCUACCAAGGCGACGAUCUGUAGCGGGUCUGAGAGGAUGAUCCGCCACACUGGGACUGAGACACGGCCCAGACUCCUACGGGAGGCAGCAGUGG